AGUAGUGUGGCAUCGUGUUUUGAGUGUUGGACUACGACUCUGGAGUCCAGGGUUCAAUUCCCAGCUCAGCCA
This is a non-coding RNA of Phrynosoma platyrhinos (Desert horned lizard), 72 nucleotides long. The record is from the annotation of a GenBank genome assembly. NCBI's taxonomy places the organism in Eukaryota, Metazoa, Chordata, Lepidosauria, Squamata, Phrynosomatidae.